This 860-nucleotide ribosomal RNA is filed under the name uncultured bacterium. RNAcentral's name for it is "bacterial SSU rRNA". It matches the Rfam family "Bacterial small subunit ribosomal RNA", at positions 73 to 957 of the family's 1533-position model. The record is from RNAcentral.
UGUUGGAAGGGUAACCGGAAGACAUGUUUAGUGGCGAACGGGUGAGUAAUGCAUGAGAACGUAUCCUCAAGAGGGGGACAACAUUGGGAAACCGAUGCUAAUACCCCAUAAGCCGGGAGGUAAAAGGAGCAAUCCGCUUGAGGAGCGGCUCAUGUCCUAUCAGCUAGUUGGUGAGGUAACGGCUCACCAAGGCGAAGACGGGUAGCCGGCCUGAGAGGGUGAACGGCCACACUGGAACUGAGAGACGGUCCAGACUCCUACGGGAGGCAGCAGUGGGGAAUAUUGGGCAAUGGGGGAAACCCUGACCCAGCGACGCCGCGUGAGGGAAGAAGGCCUUAGGGUCGUAAACCUCUGUUGUGUGGGAAGAAGAGUGUGACGGUACCACACGAGGAAGUCCCGGCUAACUACGUGCCAGCAGCCGCGGUAAUACGUAGGGGACGAGCGUUGUCCGGAUUUACUGGGCGUAAAGGGCGCGUAGGCGGUCAUUUAAGUCAGCUGUGAAAUGGUUUGGCUUAACCGGAUCAUGCGGUUGAAACUGGAUGACUGGAGUGCUGGAGAGGCAAGUGGAAUUCCCAGUGUAGCGGUGAAAUGCGUAGAUAUUGGGAAGAACACCGGUGGCGAAGGCGACUUGCUGGCCAGCAACUGACGCUGAGGCGCGAAAGCCAGGGGAGCAAACGGGAUUAGAUACCCCGGUAGUCCUGGCCGUAAACGAUGAAUGCUAGGUGUGGGCAUCGAGAGGUGUCCGUGCCGGAGCUAACGCGAUAAGCAUUCCGCCUGGGGAGUACGAUCGCAAGAUUGAAACUCAAAGGGAAUUGACGGGGGCCCGCACAAGCGGUGGAGCACGUGGUUUAAUUCGAUGC